GAGGCAGUGCAAGUACCCAGAAAAGGUUUUGCUAUUUCUUGGCUACUUUUAUGUUCUGGUCAGGUCAUUGUGCAGAGAUCUGACAGAAUUUAAGGGAGCAAUGAGCAGAAGCACACACAAUUAAGGAGAUUCUACUUUGAGCAUGCCUCAUUUCUAGGAGCUACGGGUACACAAAGAAAUCGAAAUUAACACAACUACAACUAAUUGGACAUUCAUUGAUCAACAAAGGAUAUCAACACAGCACCUCAGGACACCUGAGAGACGCACGGCCAUACAUUGCCAGGUGGAUGGACUUCCCCCAGGGAAGGAGGUGGAGAUAGGUGAAAACACUCCAGCCCCCAGACAGCCUAGUACCUGCAAGUAACUAUCUCCUAGCUGACAUGCUCAUAGCACCACCAUGGCACUGAGGGUGGGUAUGCGCAUUGGCAGCGAGACUGUGGAAAUAUGUGACUAUAGCCCUAAGGACCCCCUGAUUGCUCCUUAGUCCAGUGGGAAAAUCCAUGGUCUCACAGUGGCCAAAGGGAAAGUCUCUGGUUGGCCCUUGUGGAGAGUCCCCACCCUCCAAACACAGAGGCUGAGAGGCCUUGGGGCAGAAGUGGCUUGGCUGGUUGAGCAACCUACCAGCUGCAUUAAACACACCCAGCCCUGCUGUGGCCCCAAGGGGGCAAGGGAGCCCUAGUGGGACCGUGUGAGUUGGCAGAGACACCCAGAGCCCCAGUGUGACUGCUCCUUGGUCCAGAGGGAAAAUCCAAGGUCCCACACCAGCUGCAGGGAGAGCCUCUACUCAGCCUUAGUGGAGAGGCCCUGCACAUGAAGCACAAAGGCUAGGCGACCUAAGAGCAGAAGCAGCGGUGCUGGGUGAGCUAACCACUGGCUGCAUUAGGUACCCAUAGCUUUGCUGUGGCCUAGAUUGGACAAAUGAGAUCCUGUGGGACCCGAUGGUGGCAGAACUGUGAGUCUAGGUGAAUUAGCUCCCAGCUGCUGCAAAAGCCCAUAAGCCUGCUGCAGAUCCUAAGGAGGGAGUGUGUCUAGGCAGUCUGUGAAAGCAGGCACCAGCCACCUAAAGCCCCCUUGUGAUUGUUCCCAAAGCUGAUGGGAGAUCUCACAGGGCCACUGUGAUCCUGAGGAUGGGCCCAGGCUCAGUCAGACAGCUGAUAGGGAUCCUAGUUGGUGCAGAUUACAGCUGCUGCCCUGCCACCUCCAGUGGAAGCAAGUGGAAGCAGUAACCAAACUUUAUCUCUCUGUGGAGUCACAAAUACACACUAUCAAGCAGUAGAAAAUAAUACAUUAAAUCGCCAGAACAGAAGGAAAAUGACAAGUACCCAGAAAACAAUCCCAAAGACACAGAAAUCUACAACCUAAAUGACAAUGAAUUCAAAACGGAAAUCAUUAAAAACCUUGAUGAGUUAAAAGAGAAUACAGAUAGACAACUCAACGAGUUCAGGAGCUAUGUCACAAAAGAG
RNAcentral lists this long non-coding RNA (1463 nucleotides) under Equus caballus (horse). Its description in RNAcentral is "lncRNA (ENSECAG00000053735.1)". Lineage: Eukaryota; Metazoa; Chordata; Mammalia; Perissodactyla; Equidae. The record is from RNAcentral.